RNAcentral lists this long non-coding RNA (258 nucleotides) under Gopherus agassizii (Agassiz's desert tortoise). RNAcentral's name for it is "lncRNA (ENSGAGG00000023563.1)". The record is from RNAcentral. Lineage: Eukaryota; Metazoa; Chordata; Testudines; Testudinidae.
AAUGUCCCAACUCUUUAGGUUCAAGUGGGCUGAAAACCCCAUUUAGGCUUGGGAGAAUCUGCUGAGCCUAAUAAGAGUCUGGCUGUGAGAAAGGCUAGCAAGCCUAUUAAAGGUUGGAGUAAGGAAGCUGAUAUCUGCUGCAAUUUUACUGCCUCUUGCUCUGCUGCACCUAUAAGCUACCUGCUGUUCCAGUCCCUCCCCCUACAGGACAUGGAUGCCUACAGGAUCUAUAGAAAGAGACAUCAGAGCAGUUUGUAA